Molecule: ribosomal RNA, 246 nt
Filed under: uncultured bacterium
Lineage: Bacteria
Description: partial 16S ribosomal RNA
Rfam family: Bacterial small subunit ribosomal RNA
Source: RNAcentral
CAUGCCGUAAACGAUGAGUGCUAAGUGUUAGGGGGUUUCGACCCCCCCUGUGCCGCAGUAAACACAAUAAGUACUCCGCCUGGGAAGUACGAUCGCAAGAUUAAAACUCAAAGGAAUUGACGGGGACCCGCACAAGCAGCGGAGCAUGUGGUUUAAUUCGAAGCAACGCGAAGAACCUUACCUGGACUUGACAUCCCCUGAAUGACUCGUAAUGGAGGAAGCCCUACGGGGCAGGGAGACAGGUGG